UUAUUAAGUUGUUAGCAUUUUGGAUAGAACCUCAAGUUUAUUAAUGUGAAAAUGCAUGAGCAUGUAAGAAAUGGAUGCAUCAUGAGAAAACGGUGCAAAAACAUAUGAAGAACACCGCAAACCGAGCUACGGAUCUUUCAGAAAUCACAAACCAAGGUGCGGAAGGCCAGAAUGACUAAACAACAUUUGAGAGGGAGCUACGGGCAUUUUCUUGGCUUUCCAAGUAUGCAAGUGGACAGGGCACCAAAUUCUAGGUGCAAUAGAUCUAAAAUAC
This 274-nucleotide long non-coding RNA is filed under the name Hordeum vulgare. RNAcentral describes it as "long non-coding RNA (HVUL_LNC016473)". Lineage: Eukaryota; Viridiplantae; Streptophyta; Magnoliopsida; Poales; Poaceae. The record is from RNAcentral.